Molecule: non-coding RNA, 848 nt
Filed under: Pongo abelii (Sumatran orangutan)
Lineage: Eukaryota; Metazoa; Chordata; Mammalia; Primates; Hominidae
Source: RNAcentral
GCCGCCGCCGCCGGGCACCCAGCCCCAGGGGGGCGGGCUGGAGGGAGGGGGCGGGCCCCGGGCGCCGGCCGGGGGACCCCCGCAACCAUGGCGGGCGGGGAGUGGGCUGCCCAGCCGCUUCACCUGCCGCAGAGGGGGCGGCCGGCGCCGCUUCACCUGCCGGAGCGGGAGGCCACCGACGCGAGGCCGAGGCGGCGGCGCGCUCGGCGGCGCCUCCGGGUCCUAGAACCGCAUCCUCCCGCUCGCCUCGGGCGACGGAUUGGCCGGGUCUGGGUGAAGGGGGUCACGGCCUGGGGAUCGGAGGGGCACAUCUCUUCCGCACCGAGGAUCUCAGCGACUACGAGCACGGCUCGGAGACCCAUGGUGGUGCAGCGUUGGCGCGCCAGGGCUGCGUUCCCGUCUCAGGUCCCGGACUGAGAAGAGCCACUGACAAGACUUUAAGCAAGAGACGGAAAGUUAACAUCUAAUCUGGAAGAAGACCCUGGAGGGAGCCAGCCCCUUCCCCCAGGCUGAGCUUGUUUAAGCCUUUCUUCUGCCAAGGUCACCAGCACCCCAGAUGGGUGAGAGAUGUGAUCACUGGUUUCGUGGCCUGACCAAGGACCUCCAAGGCCUCAUGUGGAAUGCAGCCUCUGAGAAAAGCACUUCUCACCACUCAAAACCCACCGAAGCAUGCCCAGCCCUGACAGGGGCUUCUAGGAAUGCAAAACGAGCUGUCUCUGCAGCCACGAGCAGAGCUAACUGCAUAAUAAGCACACUGGAGGGGAUUCACAGGCUUUGAGGAUUGUUUUGAAGGAAGAGAAAUAGGUCCUACUUCUGUGGGAGACUGAUUAUUCCUUUAACUCCAAUCA